GAUGUGAAGGCAUUUGGUAAUUUCUCCUCUCAUCUGUUCUUUUUUUCAGCUUCUAGUAGGUAGGAGUUCCUUUUAGCUUUUGAAAUUGUUACCAUGAUUUUCUGAAAGUGUGUUUUUUAUUUGCGUGUCUAAAUACGUUUCAUGCUCUAAAAAUCACCUCGAAAUGAUUUGAUUCAAUGAUAUUAGGAAGGAUUUUUGGUCUGACCUAACAAGCUUGAGUUGGUUAAUGUGGUAUGGUUCAUUUGUAGAACUUAAUUUAGUUUUAAGUAGUAUUUUGGUGUUGAAUAUACUGAUUUAGGUGAUUUGGGGUUUAUAAUCGCGGUUUCGAUUGAUUUUUCCCCUUUUUAGUAUGUGAAUAUACAUUUAAGAGGAGAAAAAAGAUAACUUUUGGGUAUAGGAUGUUUGCG
Molecule: unclassified non-coding RNA, 407 nt
Filed under: Hevea brasiliensis (rubber tree)
Lineage: Eukaryota; Viridiplantae; Streptophyta; Magnoliopsida; Malpighiales; Euphorbiaceae
Source: RNAcentral